GGGUAUUGAAGUAAAAAAAUUACAUUUAGUUUCGACCUAAAAUUAGGAAUAGUUUUCCUUACCUA
This 65-nucleotide transfer RNA is filed under the name Tettigades major. Its description in RNAcentral is "tRNA-Arg". Lineage: Eukaryota; Metazoa; Arthropoda; Insecta; Hemiptera; Cicadidae. The record is from RNAcentral.